UUGAGGCAUCAAGAUUAUGAAAAAUCAAACACGCUCAAAAAUAUUUUUAAUAAAUUGCUUUGUAAUAAUUUGUCAUAAUAAAAUAUUCAUUUGUAAAUAAUUAUAUGAUGCGUAAUCUAUAAACAUUGUAGUAUUUUUUUUUUUUUGUAUUUCACUUGUAUAAUAUUAUUAAUUUUUGUUAGCUAUUAAUUUUUUCACAAGAUACUCUAAUCAACCAAACAAUUAAGACAUUCAUAAGCUAAAACAACAACUAACACACAUGUGAGAAGAAAAAAAUCUAUACAAAAUUCCUAAGAAGUUUGAAGAGUAAAACUAAUCACAAAAUUUUGCAAUAAGUUUCAAGUGUCUACUUCAAACAACAAAAUACAGAAGCAGACUACUAACACACUGUAAUAUAAUUAAAUCGUAAAAAAUAUUAUGCUACUUUUAAUAGUAUUUACGAUAGACUUUAACAGUAGUCUACAUUUGUAGACUUACAAAGAUAUCUAUACUUAUUAUCUAAAAUAUAGUUAAAUCAAAAAUUUGUAGUAUACUUGGCACUGUCUUGAUACACAAAGGCGUACAAUAUGCAUCUUACAUAACUCGAUCAAACUGCGCACUUGUCGAUCAUUCGUGACAUGAAUAGGAGGAGUAUCAUGACUCAUUUGCUCUAAAUUACGUCUGGUAUGGAAUACGUUAGCUCCACCAUCUCGGUUUUCUUGUCGAGAUCAUAAUCUUCUUGUGUCAUCUCAACAAGUUCACCAUGUGUACAACCAUCAUGCACAAGUUCACCAUGUGUACAAAAUAAGCGAAGAAAAAUUUCAUGUUUGAUAAUAUUACAAAGUAGAUUUAUAAAGAUGUCUACACUUAUUAAUUAACUAGAUAUUGAAACCAAAAUGUUGAUAAUUUCAUAAUUAUAAAAGAUUAUCUUUUCAAAAUAGUUUAAGACCAUUAGGAUUAACUAACACACAUUGUCAAACUAAAAAAUCUUGAAAAUACAUUAUGAAUAAUGUCUACACUAUUUUUUUUAUUUGGUCAACUUUAUAACAUCUUAGUCAAAUACAAAACUAACAUAUUCAACGCAGUCAAAGUUUUGGUCAAAUGCAAAACUGACAUUUUGUAAUCCCUACCAGUCUACAUAAUAUAGACUUCCGGUGAAGUCUAUUAUGAAAAGUCAAAAGUUUCCCAAGGUUCAGUCAAAUGUAAAAACUAACCUCUUUACGUAGACUUCUUAGUAAGUCCACAAACUUUUUUGUUUUUGCUUUCAAAGGUUAAGAUGCAGACUUCUAGGGAAGUCUACUGUACAAAAAAAAAUGUUUUGGUCAAUUGCAAAAGUAACUUGUGCGUUGAAAAGUAGACAGCAUCGUAAGUCUACACAUAAGCGUAGACAUACAAAAUAGUCUACUAUCGCGAUAAAGAUCUGAAAAAUGACGAAAACCCAUUAAAUAGUUACAUUUCCAGUGUAAAGCUCGUUUUCACCCUUUACCACCGUCCAAGCUCCAAAUAUGACCAAAAAGAACCACCUUUCUCGACUCACAACUGUAUAAACUCAAAAAUAUGAAAGUUUAUAUUAUAAAAAUGAAAGUUAUAGGGAGUUUUUUAGAUGAAAAUGGAGAGAAAAUGAGAGAAAAUGAAGAUUUGUUAGUUUACAAAGAGAAAAUGUGGUUACAAAUUGAAUUAUUGAGCUUUUAAGAGCUCAAAAAUGGUGGUUCAUGGUGGUUGGAAAAUUGAUGAUAAUGACAUUGUUGUAAAUAAGAAGAAAUGUUUAGGGUGUAAUAAUUUUUUUCUCAUUUUUGAAAUAAUUAAAUAAUUAAUUAAUUAUGGCACUUUUGUAAAUAAUUCAAUAACAUAAGGAGAAUUUAGAACUUUUAAGGGUAAAUAAUAAUGAUAAAAAAGGUUGGUUUUGUAGUUGACUCCAAAUUGAAGGUUGGUUUCGAAAAAAACCAAAUAAACAAUAAGGAAAGAACGAAGAAACACAAAACCACCAGUACGCAUGCUCUAAGAGCACGUUUAACCCUGUAUCUUAGGGGGACUCUUAAUGAAAAUUAGAAAUAAAAGAAAAACAAAAAUGGAAAUUAAAAGAAGAAACGUUCCUUAAUCUGGGGUUAGAAGGAACGUGUCUUAGGUACACGUGUUAGAUUUUGAGGGGGGAUGAGAAAGAGAGAGAAAGGAAAAAAACUGGUCUUGUCUUCAUUGUUUCAUUCGGUCCUCUCGCUUUCUCUCUCUGUCACUCCGUCGGUCCCGACUCUGCAUGCGUCGGAGACGAAUCGGCAACGCUGUUUUGUGAAUCGAAAGGCUCAUCGAAGAGGUCGUGUCUCUCUCCCUCUCCCUCUCUCCCUCUCCCUCUCCCUCUCUCUCUCUCUCUCUCUCUC
Molecule: long non-coding RNA, 2351 nt
Filed under: Brassica napus (rape)
Lineage: Eukaryota; Viridiplantae; Streptophyta; Magnoliopsida; Brassicales; Brassicaceae
Description: long non-coding RNA (BNAP_LNC017226)
Source: RNAcentral